AUUGAACGCUGGCGGCAUGCCUUACGCAUGCAAGUCGAACGGUAACAGGUCUUCGGAUGCUGACGAGUGGCGAACGGGUGAGUAAUACAUCGGAACGUGCCUAGUAGUGGGGGAUAACUACUCGAAAGAGUGGCUAAUACCGCAUGAGAUCUACGGAUGAAAGCAGGGGAUCGCAAGACCUUGUGCUACUAGAGCGGCCGAUGGCAGAUUAGGUAGUUGGUGGGAUAAAAGCUUACCAAGCCGACGAUCUGUAGCUGGUCUGAGCGGACGAUCAGCCACCAUGAGACUGAGACACGGCCCAGACUCCUACGGGAGGCAGCAGUGGGGAAAUUUGGACAAUGGGCGCAAGCCUGAUCCAGCAAUGCCGCGUGCAGGAUGAAGGCCUUCGGGUUGUAAACUGCUUUUGUACGGAACGAAAAGCCCUGGGUUAAUACCCUGGGGUCAUGACGGUACCGUAAGAAUAAGCACCGGCUAACUACGUGCCAGCCGCCGCAGUAA
RNAcentral lists this ribosomal RNA (498 nucleotides) under uncultured bacterium. RNAcentral describes it as "partial 16S ribosomal RNA". It matches the Rfam family "Bacterial small subunit ribosomal RNA", at positions 30 to 523 of the family's 1533-position model. The record is from RNAcentral.